This 860-nucleotide ribosomal RNA is filed under the name Bacillus sp. AW43. RNAcentral's name for it is "bacterial SSU rRNA". It matches the Rfam family "Bacterial small subunit ribosomal RNA", at positions 24 to 866 of the family's 1533-position model. The record is from RNAcentral. Lineage: Bacteria; Bacillati; Bacillota; Bacilli; Caryophanales; Bacillaceae.
UCAGGACGAACGCUGGCGGCGUGCUAAUACAUGCAAGUCGAGCGGACAAUAGGGAGCUUGCUCCCUAUUGUUAGCGGCGGACGGGUGAGUAACACGUGGGCAACCUGCCCUGUAGACUGGGAUAACAUCGAGAAAUCGGUGCUAAUACCGGAUAAUAAAUGGAAUUGCAUAAUUCCAUUAUAAAAGAUGGCUCCGGCUAUCACUACAGGAUGGGCCCGCGGCGCAUUAGCUAGUUGGUAAGGUAACGGCUUACCAAGGCAACGAUGCGUAGCCGACCUGAGAGGGUGAUCGGCCACACUGGGACUGAGACACGGCCCAGACUCCUACGGGAGGCAGCAGUAGGGAAUCUUCCGCAAUGGACGAAAGUCUGACGGAGCAACGCCGCGUGAGCGAUGAAGGCCUUCGGGUUGUAAAGCUCUGUUGUUAGGGAAGAACAAGUGCCAUUCAAAUAGGGUGGCACCUUGACGGUACCUAACCAGAAAGCCACGGCUAACUACGUGCCAGCAGCCGCGGUAAUACGUAGGUGGCAAGCGUUGUCCGGAAUUAUUGGGCGUAAAGCGCGCGCAGGCGGUCUUUUAAGUCUGAUGUGAAAGCCCCCGGCUCAACCGGGGAGGGUCAUUGGAAACUGGGAGACUUGAGUACAGAAGAGGAGAGUGGAAUUCCACGUGUAGCGGUGAAAUGCGUAGAUAUGUGGAGGAACACCAGUGGCGAAGGCGACUCUCUGGUCUGUAACUGACGCUGAGGCGCGAAAGCGUGGGGAGCAAAAAAGGAUUAGAUACCCUGGUAGUCCACGCCGUAAACGAUGAUACUAGGUGUUAGGGGUUUCGAUGCCCUUAGUGCCGAAGUUAACACAGUAAGCA